UACGUAGGUGGCGAGCGUUGUCCGGAAUAACUGGGCGUAAAGGGAGCGUAGGUGGUUAUUUAAGUUAAAUGUGAAAUCCCGUGGCUUAACUACGGAACUGCAUUUAAUACUGGAUGGCUAGAGUACAGGAGGGGUAAGCGGAAUUUCUAGUGUAGCGGUAAAAUGCGUAGAUAUUAGGAAGAACACCGGAGGCGAAGGCGGCUUACUGGACUGCAACUGACACUGAGGCUCGAAAGCGUGGGGAGCAAAC
Molecule: ribosomal RNA, 250 nt
Filed under: uncultured prokaryote
Description: partial 16S ribosomal RNA
Rfam family: Bacterial small subunit ribosomal RNA
Source: RNAcentral